Molecule: ribosomal RNA, 446 nt
Filed under: uncultured bacterium
Lineage: Bacteria
Description: partial 16S ribosomal RNA
Rfam family: Bacterial small subunit ribosomal RNA
Source: RNAcentral
CCUACGGGUGACAGCAGUCGAGAAUCAUUCACAAUGGGGGAAACCCUGAUGGUGCGACGCCGCGUGGGGGAAUGAAGGUCUUCGGAUUGUAAACCCCUGUCAUGUGGGAGCAAAUUAAAAAGAUAGUACCACAAGAGGAAGAGCCGGCUAACUCUGUGCCAGCAGCCGCGGUACUACAGAGGUCUCAAGCGUUGUUCGGAAUCACUGGGCGUAAAGCGUGCGUAGGCUGUUUCGUAAGUCGUGUGUGAAAGGCGCGGGCUCAACCCGCAGACGGCACAUGAUACUGCGAGACUAGAGUAAUGGAGGGGGAACCGGAAUUCUCGGUGUAGCAGUGAAAUGCGUAGAUAUCGAGAGGAACACUCGUGGCGAAGGCGGGUUCCUGGACAUUAACUGACGCUGAGGCACGAAGGCCAGGGGAGCGAAAGGGAUUAGAUACCCGGGUAGUC